GUUAACUCAAAACCUGGCCAUAUCUCAUAUAACAAGGAGUAUGUCUGAGCUCUUCUGCUCAACCUCCUCCCAGCUCUGUAUUUCCCAGUCUUCAUGAUGGGUAUCAAGAAAAGGGAAAAUAAGAAAGACUUGGCAUUUGAGUUUUGAAGGUUAGAGCUACAUAUUUGAUGAUCAAGAACUCUCGAACUGCACCUGGAUACUAAUUCUGAAUGGAAGCUUACAAUUGUAAGGUGUUUAGCUCUUACUCUACACAAAUCCUUUUUGUGUGAGGAAGAUAAGGCUGUUGGGAGAGUCAAGUAAUUGAAUGAUGUGAAUUUCCUGGAGUUUCCAUAAGUUCCUGUAAAUUUAGCCUCCAACUGAAAUAAACCAAUUGAAUGUAAGACAUCAGACCCUAAAGAACCAAAGUUGUUAUUUCUGUGGAAGACCAGCCAACCUAUUCUUACAGCUGAAACUAGGAAUCUGGCCUGCAAACAGUGUGUUAAGGCAUUCUCCAAGUUUCAAAACAAGAGUAUACCAUUUUGAAGGCCUAUAAAUAGAAAGAAUUUUUCAAAUGUUAAUUCAGUAAUGACCGCUGUCUUUGGAAAAGAUAAUUGCAAUGUGUUACUGCGAACCACUUUAAACCUGUAUUUCUCAUUGCAUUUAAUAUUUAAUUUUAUUUUUUAUCAUUAUAUAUCAACAGUUCUUUCUGGAGCAAAGCAAUCCUAUUUGACUUUUUUUUA
Molecule: long non-coding RNA, 719 nt
Filed under: Pongo abelii (Sumatran orangutan)
Lineage: Eukaryota; Metazoa; Chordata; Mammalia; Primates; Hominidae
Description: lincRNA
Source: RNAcentral